CCUACGGGUGGCAGCAGUGAGGAAUAUUGGUCAAUGGGCGUACGCCUGAACCAGCCAAGUCGCGUGAGGGAAGACUGCCCUAUGGGUUGUAAACCUCGUUUGUCAGGGAGCAACGCCGGCUACGUGUAGCCGGACGGAGAGUACCUGAAGAAAAAGCAGCGGCGAACUCCGGGCCAGCAGCCGCGGGAAUACGGAGGAUGCGAGCGUGAGCCGGAUUUAUUGGGUUUAAAGGGUGCGUAGGAGGAAUGCCAAGUCAGCGGUAAACGCGCGGGGCUCAACCUCGCUCCGCCGUUGAAACGGGCGUUCUUGAGUGCGCGAGAAGUAUGCGGACUGCCUGUUGUAGCGGU
RNAcentral lists this ribosomal RNA (347 nucleotides) under uncultured bacterium. Its description in RNAcentral is "partial 16S ribosomal RNA". It matches the Rfam family "Bacterial small subunit ribosomal RNA", at positions 338 to 682 of the family's 1533-position model. The record is from RNAcentral.